Sarcophilus harrisii (Tasmanian devil) is the source of this 462-nucleotide long non-coding RNA. RefSeq lists it as uncharacterized. The record is from RefSeq and is a predicted model, not a curated record. Lineage: Eukaryota; Metazoa; Chordata; Mammalia; Dasyuromorphia; Dasyuridae. The transcript has 3 exons.
GCAGGUUAAACCUUCACCACAUAGGUCUUGGUGCCCAUUGUGUGAAUGAAUGAGUGCAUAAUGGAGACCCCCAGGGUUCCAGCUAACUAGUCAGGAAGAGCUGCCAACUGAAAGUCAAUGGAGCCAAGCUUAAUUGAAACAAUUUGCUGUACACAGGCAAGGAAAAAGUGACUCAACCAACAUGUCAAAAAUGAAGAUUUAGUGGUGUCUAAUGGAUGAAAAGACACAUAUUUACACUUCAGGGAAGGAGGGAGAGAUAAGAAGAUAAGAAAGAAAAUGGAGCUGAUGCUGGGGACAAUCUGUUGAAAAUGGGAAUCUAAGGGUGCCUUGUUGCUUGAGCUAAGCUAUCUUGCCUGCGGCUGUGAAUGGCAGUUGAUUGACAGUUGGUGGAGAUGGAUGGCCCCUUCUCCAUAGGAACUGCUUCUCGGAUGAUAGCUAUAAAGGUAAAGCUGAAAGCAGGAC